Molecule: ribosomal RNA, 426 nt
Filed under: uncultured bacterium
Lineage: Bacteria
Description: bacterial SSU rRNA
Rfam family: Bacterial small subunit ribosomal RNA
Source: RNAcentral
CGGGUGAGUAAUGCCUAGGAAUCUGCCUGGUAGUGGGGGAUAACGUUCGGAAACGGACGCUAAUACCGCAUACGUCCUACGGGAGAAAGCAGGGGACCUUCGGGCCUUGCGCUAUCAGAUGAGCCUAGGUCGGAUUAGCUAGUUGGUGAGGUAAUGGCUCACCAAGGCGACGAUCCGUAACUGGUCUGAGAGGAUGAUCAGUCACACUGGAACUGAGACACGGUCCAGACUCCUACGGGAGGCAGCAGUGGGGAAUAUUGGACAAUGGGCGAAAGCCUGAUCCAGCCAUGCCGCGUGUGUGAAGAAGGUCUUCGGAUUGUAAAGCACUUUAAGUUGGGAGGAAGGGCAGUUACCUAAUACGUGAUUGUUUUGACGUUACCGACAGAAUAAGCACCGGCUAACUCUGUGCCAGCAGCCGCGGUAAUC